CUUGUGCAGGUGCAGUAGGGACUUGGUGGUGCGGUCGUGCAGAGUCAUGCUGAUGAUGAGUUUCAGGGACUUGGAGUCCAGUAGGUUCUAGGACAGACACAUGGGGUCCGGCCUGCCCUCCCACAGCCCACACGGGCACGGGGAGGCAUCACAGGUGUCCCCGAAGCCAGGGCAGAACAGCGUCCCCGCAGCGAGUGCCCGGGCAGCAGCUCUUAGGUUUGGUCUCAGGACCACACUAUUGAUGUGGGCCCAGUGGAAUGAGGUGGGUUUGCACCUUGCACACAGCGCUGGUUCCGGGAGGGCUGAUGACAGCCUCUUUCACAGCCUGAGUGGCUGCCCCAUUUCCUCUUCCUCUGGGUUAGAGAGGAAGCCAGUGCUACUGAACCUGGCCGUCCCUCUCCUCUGCAUAGCUCCUACAGUUUACAUUACUUGAGUCAAGAAGGGCCAGGUCCUUUCUGUGCCAUCCGCAUGAGCUCAUCGGACAGGCCACCAUCAUGUGUCAGCCAGUUCUAUCAGCUGACAAGAGGAAUUAGCCCUCUCCCAUCUGCUAACUAGACUGCAAGGCUAUUCUUACUCUUCUUGCAAAUUUCUUAAAUUGCUGCACUUGUAUGUGGAAACGAGACAGAGCGCUUGGGAGGUUCUCUGUCCUGUCUGGAAGCAGCCCAGUAGCCAGGGACUGAAGAUGGGGGUGUUAAACGGAAGGGUCCCAUUACGUUGGGGCAGGAUGAGCUCUGUGGUGCUAUGAACCCACUAGAGCUCCCCAUGGGACCAGGCUGAGGCCAGACUUCAGCUAUGCUUACGCCCCUAGCUUCCUCCCUCACCCCUUCUCUCUGCCUUCUCACGUAAGCCCUCUUCCAUAAGCCGCUGUGUGUGCAAAUACCCCAUCUCAGACCCUGCUUCUGGGAAACCCAUAAAGAGACAGCUCUAAAUCAUCUCAACACGAGAACAUUUUUUUUUUCUUGGAGGGAGGGGGAGAUAGUGGGAAGGAGGAGGAAAUGAAGUUGCAGAAGUGAAAGCUCUCAAGACGGGCAGAGAAGCAAGAUAUCUUGGAACGUGUCGCGCGGGGUGUGUUUUUUUUUUUACCUUUGGAAUGAUCUGCUUUUGUUUGAUACCUUUACUUUUCCUGUCAAAAUAUUAAAAAUGGUUUUGUGAACAAAAGGAACACAGUGUCGGGAUUUGGGUUAGUUCAGCAAGCCACGCCUGGCGGGUUAGACUGAGAGACACAGAGAGAGGGGAGAGAGUGAGAAGGCGCAAGUGCAACAAGGCCACCGCCACCUCUCCACGCUGCACACCGUGGCGUGCCUCAGCCACUGUCUGUGGACACCAGUUUCCCUGGGUUGGCGGCACCCGGACUCUGCUGGUGGCUGCCCCAAAGCUGAGUAAAGUGUUUAGUCUGGGGGCCAUUCGGAUGUCUGAGAAGUAGGAGGGGCUGGCUAGGAAUCUACAGGGUGGGACGUGCAUCCAGCGGGGCUUGCUAUGGAGGAACUGACAUAUCCCCCAGAUCACAGCAGGAUGCCGAGUGGGGCGGAGGGAGCCUGAGCAGUCCUGGUGGUGACCAGGUGACCAGGCUGUCUUUGCCAUGUGCUGGUAGAUGCCAAGCAGGCCCACAGAGGCCCUUCUGGAACCCUCUGCUGGCAGGGCAGGGACUUGCCCUGCAAAAUAACCAAAAUGGGGCCUGGGUGGGAGCUCCUUUCAGGAUCAUGCUGGUGGGAAAGAAGAAAACCAAAGCUGGCCAGGCGCAGUGGCUCACGCCUGUAAUCCCAGCACUUUGGGAGGCUGAGGUGAGCGGAUCACCUGAGGUCAGGAGUUCAAGGCCAGCCUGGCCAACAUGGUGAAACCCUGUCUCUACUAAAAAUACAAAAA
RNAcentral lists this long non-coding RNA (1863 nucleotides) under Homo sapiens (human). Its description in RNAcentral is "HSALNT0396422". The record is from RNAcentral. Lineage: Eukaryota; Metazoa; Chordata; Mammalia; Primates; Hominidae.